RNAcentral lists this long non-coding RNA (1495 nucleotides) under Marmota monax (woodchuck). Lineage: Eukaryota; Metazoa; Chordata; Mammalia; Rodentia; Sciuridae. The record is from RNAcentral.
GAAGAGUUUGAGGAGGCUGAUUGGACCUGUGUAGUCAGGGAGGUUGAAGCAGAGAACUAACUCACGGUUAAAGCUCAGGCCUUCACAAGUACAUUGCAUGUCUGUCAAGUAUGGGCUUUUAACUGCCUCACUUGGAUUCAUCUGAAUUCUCCCUGCAUGACCAAGAAAAGGGGACUUGGCAGUCAUUCACCACUUAAGCCGAGACACAAGUAAGCGUGCUUGAUAGAUAAGCUCCAAUUCUUUAAGGAAAGUUGUUCACUGAUAUAUCAACAGUACCUAGAACAGUGCCUGACAUAUGGUAGAUAGUAAGUAUUGAAUAUCUAAUAAUAAUAUUUAUAAAUAAAUAAUAAUAAAUAAAUAUUUAUUAAAUUAAUGAAUAUGGCCAUUUCUGAGCUGGCUUACUGUGAAUAAUGGAAAGAAUUAGGGCCCUGCUGAAAGGUGACAUCGGCUGAGUAUUCCUACAGGAGUCCACUUAGCUCCAGCUCUGUUGGUUUUACAGUGCCACAUCACAGCCUCUGGGAUCCUCUGCCUCCCAGGCUGAUGCCCUGCAACAGGUGAUUUUGUGGUGAUCCCUUAUACAGUUAAAUAUUCCUCUCUCUCUUUUGAGUUCUGAACUCCAGCCUAGAUUCUUCUUUUCUUUCUUUAUGUCUGGUUGUUCACAGGUAGGUCUUUCCUGCUCAUUUUUUCAGAGUGAAAGAAUGAAAGUGUCCCUGGGAGAUAUAACAUCCCUUUCUAAGCAUAAAUGCCUUAAAUUUUAAUAGUUGCCUUAAAUAGUAAUAGUACUAAUGAUGAUGAUGAUGUCCUAAAAUAUUAUAACCUGUUAAAUAUGGCACAAGCAUUAGGCUAAACACUAUAAACACUAAACUCAACCUUAGAAAGAUUGGCAUAAUUAACUACAUUUUUCAGUCAGAGAAAUUGAGGCUUAGAGAAGUUACUUGCUCAAAGUCAUUCAGUUAGUGUUCCACUGGACUUGACUGACAUCACAGAACAUCAACACUAGAUAAGGAUACUCAGUGUCAAUAACAGACCAAGGGGCUAAAGGUGUAACUCAGUGAUGGAGUGCUUACCUGGCACAUGUGAGACACUAAGUUUGAUCCUCAGUACCACAUAUAAUAAAGAAAUAGAAAUAAAGGUAUUAACAUAAUGCAAUAAAGUUUAAAAAAUAAUAGAUCAAGAUGAAAACGAAACCACUCCAUGAUCAUGUCUGAUCACAGACACAGGCACAAACAAGAAUAUUGGCCAAACCAACAAAAAUGACCAAGCAUCCACCUAUCCAGGCUAAUGGUAAAGAAGCAAUGCCAUUUGUGUUAGCUUAAAUUCUAGAUGAGAUUUAUUCAGAUACCUAGUCAUAGAAUUGCCCUGUGUCCUGAUGUCAUCCAGGCCAAGCAAUGCCCUGCUUUCUUCAAACCACAUACCGUAAGCCUGAGUUCCAUAAUAAGUUCUCUUUCAUAUUCUCUUACUGAUAGCCCACAGUUCUUUGUGGUGUGCUUUUCCC